GAAUCUUGCGCAAUGGGCGAAAGCCUGACGCAGCGACGCCGCGUGGGGGAUGAAGCCUUUCGGGGUGUAAACCCCUUUCGACCCGGACGAAUGGCCCCGCACGGGGACGUGACGGUACGGGUAUAAGAAGCCCCGGCUCACUACGUGCCAGCAGCCGCGGUAAGACGUAGGGGGCCAGCGUUGCUCGGAAUAACUGGGCGUAAAGGGUCCGUAGGCGGUGCAGCAAGUCGGGAGUGAAAUUUCUGGGCUUAACCCAGAAUCGGCUUCCGAAACUGCUGUGCUGGAGUGCGAGAGAGGCGAGUGGAAUUGCAGGUGUAGCGGUGAAAUGCGUAGAUAUCUGCAGGAACACCAGAGGCGAAAGCGGCUCGCUGGAUCGCAACUGACGCUGAGGGACGAAAGCUAGGGGAGCAAACAGG
RNAcentral lists this ribosomal RNA (416 nucleotides) under uncultured bacterium. RNAcentral's name for it is "bacterial SSU rRNA". It matches the Rfam family "Bacterial small subunit ribosomal RNA", at positions 359 to 776 of the family's 1533-position model. The record is from RNAcentral.